GCUCAACCGGGGAGGGUCAUUGGAAACUGGGGAACUUGAGUGCAGAAGAGGAGAGUGGAAUUCCACGUGUAGCGGUGAAAUGCGUAGAGAUGUGGAGGAACACCAGUGGCGAAGGCGACUCUCUGGUCUGUAACUGACGCUGAGGCGCGAAAGCGUGGGGAGCGAACAGGAUUAGAUACCCUGGUAGUCCACGCCGUAAACGAUGAGUGCUAAGUGUUAGAGGGUUUCCGCCCUUUAGUGCUGCAGCAAACGCAUUAAGCACUCCGCCUGGGGAGUACGGUCGCAAGACUGAAACUCAAAGGAAUUGACGGGGGCCCGCACAAGCGGUGGAGCAUGUGGUUUAAUUCGAAGCAACGCGAAGAACCUUACCAGGUCUUGACAUCCUCUGACAACCCUAGAGAUAGGGCUUCCCCUUCGGGGGCAGUGUGACAGGUGGUGCAUGGUUGUCGUCAGCUCGUGUCGUGAGAUGUUGGGUUAAGUCCCGCAACGAGCGCAACCCUUGAUCUUAGUUGCCAGCAUUCAGUUGGGCACUCUAAGGUGACUGCCGGUGACAAACCGGAGGAAGGUGGGGAUGACGUCAAAUCAUCAUGCCCCUUAUGACCUGGGCUACACACGUGCUACAAUGGGCAGAACAAAG
RNAcentral lists this ribosomal RNA (637 nucleotides) under uncultured bacterium. RNAcentral describes it as "bacterial SSU rRNA". It matches the Rfam family "Bacterial small subunit ribosomal RNA", at positions 607 to 1244 of the family's 1533-position model. The record is from RNAcentral.